CCUACGGGAGGCAGCAGUGAGGAAUAUUGGUCAAUGGACGAGAGUCUGAACCAGCCAAGUAGCGUGAAGGAUGACUGCCCUAUGGGUUGUAAACUUCUUUUAUAUGGGAAUAAAACGUUCCACGUGUGGGAUUUUGUAUGUACCAUAUGAAUAAGGAUCGGCUAACUCCGUGCCAGCAGCCGCGGUAAUACGGAGGAUCCGAGCGUUAUCCGGAUUUAUUGGGUUUAAAGGGAGCGUAGGUGGAUUGUUAAGUCAGUUGUGAAAGUUUGCGGCUCAACCGUAAAAUUACAGAUGAAACUGGCAGUCUUGAGUACAGUAGAGGUGGGCGGAAUUCGUGGUGUAGCGGUGAAAUGCUUAGAUAUCACGAAGAACUCCGAUUGCGAAGGCAGUUCACUGGACUGCAACUGACACUGAGGCUCGAAAGUGUGGGUAUCAAACAGGAUUAGAUACCCCUGUAGUC
This 460-nucleotide ribosomal RNA is filed under the name uncultured bacterium. RNAcentral's name for it is "partial 16S ribosomal RNA". It matches the Rfam family "Bacterial small subunit ribosomal RNA", at positions 338 to 795 of the family's 1533-position model. The record is from RNAcentral.